RNAcentral lists this ribosomal RNA (512 nucleotides) under uncultured soil bacterium. RNAcentral describes it as "partial 16S ribosomal RNA". It matches the Rfam family "Bacterial small subunit ribosomal RNA", at positions 340 to 875 of the family's 1533-position model. The record is from RNAcentral.
UAAGGGAGGCAGCAGUGGGGAAUAUUCAACAAUGGGGGAAACCAGAAGGCAGGAAGGCGGUUUAAGUGUUGAAGGCUUUGGGGUGGUAAAAUUUUUUAUUAGGGGAGAAUAAGGAGGGUCAGGUAGAAGGAACCCAGGGCAAAUUAGUGCCCGCCGGCGGGGUUAUAAGGAGGGUGGCAAGGUUUGUCGGAAAUUAUGGGGGUAAAGGGGAGGGUGGGGGGUUUUUUAAGUGGGAGUGAAAUUCCCCGGGUUCACCGGGGGAAUGCCAUUCCAAACUGGGGAAUAGAGUUGCGGGAGGGGAAGUAGAAUUUCCAGUGUAGCGGUGAAAUGGGUAAAUAAUUGGGGGGAACACCAGUGGGGAGGGGGACCUUUGGGACAAUAAUGACGGUGAAGCAUGAAAGGGUGGGGAACAAACCAGAUUAAAUACCCUGGUUGUUCACCCCAAAAAGAUGUAAUAUUUGGGGUAGGGGGUGAAGCCCUCUGUGCCGCAGUAACGCGUAAGUAUCCGCCUG